Molecule: microRNA precursor, 84 nt
Filed under: Bombyx mori (domestic silkworm)
Lineage: Eukaryota; Metazoa; Arthropoda; Insecta; Lepidoptera; Bombycidae
Description: mir-2807 microRNA precursor family
Rfam family: mir-2807 microRNA precursor family
Source: Rfam by way of RNAcentral
UUAGCUCAUAUUUGUAUGGAACGGGAUCGUUUGCGUACGUUUGUCGCUAGGGGCGCUGUUUCAACUGCAUACAAAAUUGGGUUA